UAACGUUUCGAUUGUUUGUCGUUUGAUAGCAAUACUCUAUCUUAAUUAUAAUGUAGAAUGAUUGUUAUUACGUUUAUAGCAACAGGAACGCUUUUUUCACGAUGUGGCACAUGAGGCAGGGUAUGGAAUCAAUUAUUACAUAUCUCAGCUUCUCACUCUGCAAUCGAGAAGAUUCGUAAGAUCCGUAAGUGUUAUCGCUGUAAAUAUAAUGUAUACAGAUAUCAUUUUUUUUACAGAUCUAAAUAAAUAUAGUUAAUUGUUUUGUUUUUUCCUCGCGCUCUGUUACUCUAUACCUAUAGCAGGUAGGGUUAGCUG
Long non-coding RNA from Photinus pyralis (common eastern firefly), 315 nucleotides. RefSeq lists it as uncharacterized. NCBI's taxonomy places the organism in Eukaryota, Metazoa, Arthropoda, Insecta, Coleoptera, Lampyridae. The record is from RefSeq and is a predicted model, not a curated record. The transcript is spliced from 3 exons.